RNAcentral lists this unclassified non-coding RNA (254 nucleotides) under uncultured fungus. RNAcentral describes it as "partial contains 5.8S ribosomal RNA, internal transcribed spacer 2, and large subunit ribosomal RNA". The record is from RNAcentral. Lineage: Eukaryota; Fungi.
AACGCACAUUGCGCCCGGGAGCAUUCUCCCGGGCAUGCCUGUUCGAGCGUCAUUUCAACCCUCGACUUCCCUUUGGGGAAGUCGGCCGUUGGAGAUCGGCAGCACUGCCGGCUCCCAAAUCCAGUGGCGACCCGCCGCGGGGACCCCUGCGUAGUAACUAACACUCGCACCGGAAACCAGACGUGUCACGCCGUAAAACCCCCCGCUUUCUGAACGUUGACCUCGGAUCAGGUAGGAAUACCCGCUGAACUUAA